RNAcentral lists this ribosomal RNA (813 nucleotides) under uncultured bacterium. RNAcentral describes it as "bacterial SSU rRNA". It matches the Rfam family "Bacterial small subunit ribosomal RNA", at positions 8 to 796 of the family's 1533-position model. The record is from RNAcentral.
AGAGUUUGAUCAUGGCUCAGAACGAACGCUGGCGGCGUGCCUAACACAUGCAAGUCGAACGCGAAAGUGGUCUUCGGACCAUGAGUAGAGUGGCGCACGGGUGAGUAACGCGUAGGUAAUCUACCUCUGUGUCUGGGAUAACAUCGCGAAAGUGGUGCUAAUACCGGAUACGGUUGGUUUUCCGCGAGGGAAACCGAGUAAAGGUGCCCUCUGAUUCAAGGUACCGCAUGGAGAUGAGCCUGCGUACCAUUAGCUAGUAGGUGGGGUAACGGCCUACCUAGGCUGCGAUGGUUAGCGGGUCUGAGAGGAUGAUCCGCCACACUGGAACUGGAACACGGACCAGACUCCUACGGGAGGCAGCAGUGAGGAAUUUUGCGCAAUGGGGGAAACCCUGACGCAGCGACGCCGCGUGGGUGAGGAAGGUUUUCGGAUCGUAAAGCCCUGUCAGGUGGGAAGAAGUGUGUGAUGGUUAAUACCCAUUGCAUUUGACGGUACCACCAGAGGAAGCACCGGCUAACUCCGUGCCAGCAGCCGCGGUAAUACGGAGGGUGCAAGCGUUGUUCGGAAUUACUGGGCGUAAAGGGCGCGUAGGCGGCUAAUCAAGUCAGUUGUGAAAUCCCACGGCUCAACCGUGGAGGUGCAAUUGAAACUGGUUGGCUUGAGUACCGGAGGGGAAUGUGGAAUUCCCGGUGUAGAGGUGAAAUUCGUAGAUAUCGGGAGGAACACCGGUGGCGAAGGCGACAUUCUGGACGGAUACUGACGCUGAGGCGCGAAAGCGUGGGGAGCAAACAGGAUUAGAUACCCUAGUAGUCC